UCCCCAAUAAGCACCUUCUUUGCACAUCUUUUUGAGCGUGUGCUCAAAAUUGCGAGUGGAAAUAUUCCCUCGUUUAACCACAUAGUAUGCAUCCUCUGCAAGAACUCUAGCAGCUGCAACAGUUCCGAUCUUCAAGAAACCAUCGACGGUGAGAUUGAGGAAGGGAUUGCCCAUGUCGAUUGCCACAUCAAUUUUGGGGGUUGAUAAAGAACCUGCAAAUCUGCUACUCGGCAUUUUCUUUUCUUCUCUUCUUCACUCACACACUCUUCAGCUCUCUCUCUCUCUCUCUCUCUCUCU
This 297-nucleotide unclassified non-coding RNA is filed under the name Hevea brasiliensis (rubber tree). The record is from RNAcentral. Lineage: Eukaryota; Viridiplantae; Streptophyta; Magnoliopsida; Malpighiales; Euphorbiaceae.